Molecule: ribosomal RNA, 282 nt
Filed under: Escherichia coli
Lineage: Bacteria; Pseudomonadati; Pseudomonadota; Gammaproteobacteria; Enterobacterales; Enterobacteriaceae
Also listed under: 1 other name
Description: partial 16S ribosomal RNA
Rfam family: Bacterial small subunit ribosomal RNA
Source: RNAcentral
AAAUUGAAGAGUUUGAUCAUGGCUCAGAUUGAACGCUGGCGGCAGGCCUAACACAUGCAAGUCGAACGGUAACAGGAAACAGCUUGCUGUUUCGCUGACGAGUGGCGGACGGGUGAGUAAUGUCUGGGAAACUGCCUGAUGGAGGGGGAUAACUACUGGAAACGGUAGCUAAUACCGCAUAACGUCGCAAGACCAAAGAGGGGGACCUUCGGGCCUCUUGCCAUCGGAUGUGCCCAGAUGGGAUUAGCUAGUAGGUGGGGUAACGGCUCACCUAGGCGACGA